This 75-nucleotide transfer RNA is filed under the name Nevskiaceae bacterium. Its description in RNAcentral is "tRNA-Gln". It matches the Rfam family "tRNA". Rfam says of the family: Transfer RNA (tRNA) molecules are approximately 80 nucleotides in length. Their secondary structure includes four short double-helical elements and three loops (D, anti-codon, and T loops). Lineage: Bacteria; Pseudomonadati; Pseudomonadota; Gammaproteobacteria; Nevskiales; Nevskiaceae. The record is from RNAcentral.
UCACCUCUGGCCUAAGCGGUAGGGCGGCAGGCUUUGAUCCUGUGAGUGCAGGUUCGAGUCCUGCGGGGUGAUCCA